Molecule: ribosomal RNA, 445 nt
Filed under: uncultured bacterium
Lineage: Bacteria
Description: partial 16S ribosomal RNA
Rfam family: Bacterial small subunit ribosomal RNA
Source: RNAcentral
GUGAGGAAUAUUGGUCAAUGGGCGGGAGCCUGAACCAGCCAAGUCGCGUGAAGGAAGAAGGAUCUAUGGUUCGUAAACUUCUUUUGCAGGGGAAUAAAGUGCAGGACGUGUCCUGUUUUGUAUGUACCCUGAGAAUAAGGAUCGGCUAACUCCGUGCCAGCAGCCGCGGUAAUACGGAGGAUCCGAGCGUUAUCUGGAUUUAUUGGGUUUAAAGGGUGCGUAGGUGGUUUGAUAAGUCAGCGGUGAAAGUUUGCAGCUUAACUGUAAAAAUGCCGUUGAAACUGUCGGACUUGAGUGUAAAUGAGGUAGGCGGAAUGCGUGGUGUAGCGGUGAAAUGCAUAGAUAUCACGCAGAACUCCGAUUGCGAAGGCAGCUUACUAAGCUACAACUGACACUGAAGCACGAAAGCGUGGGGAUCAAACAGGAUUAGAAACCCGUGUAGUCC